This is a long non-coding RNA of Brachypodium distachyon (stiff brome), 3493 nucleotides long. RefSeq lists it as uncharacterized. The record is from RefSeq and is a predicted model, not a curated record. Lineage: Eukaryota; Viridiplantae; Streptophyta; Magnoliopsida; Poales; Poaceae. The transcript is spliced from 6 exons.
AUGAAUGUUCAUUUUUUUUGAACGGUACUGAUGAAUGUUCAUGAUCACUGUACCGCAGCCCACCUGCACUCGCACCCCACACGCGCCGCCUCCGACCCACCCCCGGCCCCGAGCCCCUGCCGCUCCUCCUCGCUGCCGCCCCUCUUCCGCCGCCGCGUCCCUUCCAGAUCUCCUCCGCCUUCGCGGAAGACAAAGCGGGGAGGCCUCAUCCACCUCGACGCUUGCGAAUUUGGUUCUCGCGCCUGGGAAAUCCGGCGGACGCGGGGCAGGAGCUUUCCCCGUUACGACUCGCGUGCCGGCUGGGACGUUGCGGUUGGCGCAUAGUCUAGGGUUUGCGACCGCGCUGGUGCUGUCGCGGCCGGAGGCAGUAGCACUAGCCAUGGGCGACGGCGAGCGCCACGACGAUGAGAUUCCGAUUACCAGCGCCGCAGGUGAGCUCGUCGUCUAUUGGAAGCAGUCAAUUCGUAUGGGUUCAGUUUGGUUUCACCCUUUUUUUUGCUCUCGGCUGCUGUUUUAUCAUCUUUCCUUACCGAUGACGAUGAGUAUUAUGAGGAGACUGGCGGGUGGAAUCACUUCCUGGGGUUUAUGUUUGGCAAUAUUGACGAUUCUGGCCGUCUGGCGACCUAGUCAACGGCUAUCUUGAUGAGAUUGACAUGGCCGAAUGUGAAAUUGUUGUGGACCUCGUGGUGGUAUACUGGAUGCCAAGGAACAUAUUUUUGCACUGUCUAACAAGCUUGGUCCAUCUCUGAAAGAUGACCAAGACGUCUCCAGCACCAGCUGAUCCUUGUGAGCAAGACUGAUGAGAAAGCAGAUGAUACUGUUGACUAUGAAGAUAUUGACGAAGAUUAUGAUGCACCUGAAGUUGAAGCAGCUACAGAAGAGGACCAUUUGCUAUCCAAUAAAGACUACUUCUCCUCGAAUAUAGUCUUUGCUUCACUCAAUCCUAAAGCCACCAAACUUGGAACUUCUAUUUAUUCAUUCUCAGAUUGCUUUUUCUCGUGGAAAACAAGUACAAAAUAUGCCUAUCUCAUCUGUUGAAGUCAUCAAUACUCAAUAACACCUUAAAGUUUUUGUUUGUAUCUUAUUUAUAUAUGUUUCAUCUUGCUAGUAUAUACAAUACCAAGUGGCUAAAAAAAGAAGCCAUUUGGAAUGAUUAUCAUGUUCCAAAAAGGAAAGCAUAGACGGCUCAAAUGGGAUGAGAAUAAAUGUUUCUGUUUGCUAGUUGUUUUGGAUUAUGACCAUAUCCCAAAUGACCGACUUAACCAUUUAGAUCAACAUUCCAAACGGUUGCAUCGCGGAAAUCAUGUAUGCCUCAUAAGAUCAGUUCUGGGAGUACUUAUCCCAAAUGGUUUGCAUUUGCUAACAGUUCAGGAUAGCUUUAACCUUAAACAAUAUUCCUUGGACAUUUGGGAUGAGCUGUUUAUUAUGUGUGUUUCUAUACUAAUGUAAAGAAAUAGUUUUAGAUGGCAAAAUGUCAAACAAAUGAAAAUAUAUCAUUCUUUAUUCAACAGUAACAAACCUUGCUCGCACAUGCUUUACCAAAAACAAAUCCUGCCGGCUCCCAGAAACAUGGCAUUUUGGAAGUGGCUUCAGUUUAAAAUGUCUACAAUCCACAACUUCCUACAAUGUCAAUAAAAUAUUAAGAUUUCAUCCUGGAAAACCAUAUUUAUAGAUUUCCCUCGCAAAGUACUUUAAUAAUAUUAGAAUGUUGUCGUGCUUUGUACAGAUAAAAUUAGUGAUUAAAGUUGCAUGGUGAAGACCAUAUGAAUAUUUAGAGCCUCGUAUUUGGCGAACUUGAGGCAGUCAUUUGCGUUCUACUAUUGGUGGGUUUCAAAAAUAUACAUUUGUGAUGUGGUGGUUCCCCUAAGAUGAUGGUUCAAUUUUCUAGUAUAUACUGCAUGUGUUGGUCAGGCAUUUAAUUUAGUUUGAUGAGUAGAUUGUGUGAUCACUUGUGUGCGGUGAGCCUUGAAAUUUGGCACAAAACACGACACUCUGGGAGGCCUGAAGCUGCCUCCUGCACCCUUUUAAAGUGCACCUUCAAGUUUCAGCCGAAGAUCUCCUGUUCCUGGGGUUAAGUCUCAGUUCUCACCAAUGCAGAAUCUGGUGCCAAGUUUAUUGGCAAUGGCACGGCUGAUGCUGUACUGAAAGCCAAGGCACAACUGGAGGGGACUGAUCUUCAUGUACCUGAUUCAGUUUCUCUGUAUGAAACCAACAAUCUUGUAUCGCCAGAAAACACAUCUUUGGACGACUUAGUUGUUUCAGAUGAUGAAUUGGAUACACUGGAUACUGAUAAAUCCCGAGAGUAUCUGGAACUGUUGAAAAAUGCUGAUGUCGCAGAUAGCAGCACAGUCUGAAAUGUUCUUCUACAGAAGUUUCUGAUCUAAGCUCACUGAAGGGCACAGAAUUAAGAGAGCUGGCGAAAUCUCAAGGACUAAAAGGUUAUUCAAAGAUGAAGAAAAGUGAGUUGGUUGCAGUACUGAGCAUCCUGACCUGAUUCAUUGGUGGCACCGUGGCAAGGGCAUAGGCUCCUGCUUCAGCCCACUGUUUUGCUUCUCUCUUUUUUUUCUUUUCUUUUUUUGAGAUCAACGUGCAUGACGCUUUAGUCCUCAGAUGAUAAUAAUUAUGAAUUUACAACAUCAUUCCGAAAACUAGGAAUAGAAUAUAAAAAACGAGAGACACUGCAAUUUUGCUUCUCUCUUUCAUUGGUGUGCACACAACCUUUCCGUUCCUAUGUUGGCAAGACCAGGUCCUUUUAAAUAGGAUAGGACGUUGUAACUGAGCAAAGUUAUCUUUCUGUUGUUCAGUGCUGAUCUUAUGCUGGUUCUUAGCUACCUUUGUUUUUUAGUUAAUAAGCUGAACUCUUUGUUACUCAGUUGGCCCUAGAUUUGUUUCUGUCUUGUACUACUGUUGAAUAAGCUAUACAGAUGGAGUUGAAUAAGCUAUAUAUGCUUGGCAGGACAUAUGUUUCUCUGUUGUACAACUAUUGACCUACAGAGUUGGCCCUAGAUUUGUUACUCAGUGAACUGGAUAGACAAUCAUUUGGCAAUAUGGCUCUCUGCAAGUCUGAAUCAGCUGCCUGUCGCUUUUCUCAUGAAGGGGAAGAUAGUAACCAAUCGUCCCAGACUCUCAGCCGCAUUAUUGAUUCUGUUCCUUUUGUUGGCAAGGUAACAAUCUCCCGCUUAACUUGUGGGGAGUGUUCCAUUAUCUAUGUCGAUAUCUCUGCCCUCUUCUAUGUUUUGGUUUCUGGGAGCUGUCAGAUCUGGGGGAUUGGACGGUUAGUUUACGGUCUCUCAAGCCUUAUGGACCUGCUUCCUCCGCCUCCCCUCCUAGCAUGAAUGAUUUCCUUGGCCCUGGUUGUGUGUGUGUGUAUAAGCUGAGCCAUUCUGAUACGAUCACAGCAGUGUUACCUAGCAGUAGCAAGUUUCUUUUCAGCAAGAAAAGAAAGCCCCUUCAUUAGAUAAAAGAAAUGCAAAUAUAACGAUUGCUUAAGCGA